GGAUAAACGCUGGCGGCGUGCCUAACACAUGCAAGUCGAGCGAUUCUCUUCGGAGAAGAGCGGCGGACGGGUGAGUAACGCGUGGGUAACCUGCCCUGUACACACGGAUAACAUACCGAAAGGUAUGCUAAUACGAGAUAAUAUGCUUUUAUCGCAUGGUAGAAGUAUCAAAGCUUUUGCGGUACAGGAUGGACCCGCGUCUGAUUAGCUAGUUGGUAAGGUAACGGCUUACCAAGGCGACGAUCAGUAGCCGACCUGAGAGGGUGAUCGGCCACAUUGGAACUGAGACACGGUCCAAACUCCUACGGGAGGCAGCAGUGGGGAAUAUUGCACAAUGGGCGAAAGCCUGAUGCAGCAACGCCGCGUGAGCGAUGAAGGCCUUCGGGUCGUAAAGCUCUGUCCUCAAGGAAGAUAAUGACGGUACUUGAGGAGGAGGCCCCGGCUAACUACGUGCCAGCAGCCGCGGUAAUACGUAGGGGGCUAGCGUUAUCCGGAAUUACUGGGCGUAAAGGGUGCGUAGGUGGUUUCUUAAGUCAGAGGUGAAAGGCUACGGCUCAACCGUAGUAAGCCUUUGAAACUGGGAAACUUGAGUGCAGGAGAGGAGAGUGGAAUUCCUAGUGUAGCGGUGAAAUGCGUAGAUAUUAGGAGGAACACCAGUUGCGAAGGCGGCUCUCUGGACUGUAACUGACACUGAGGCACGAAAGCGUGGGGAGCAAACAGGAUUAGAUACCCUGGUAGUCCACGCCGUAAGCGAUGAGUACUAGCUGUCGGAGGUUACCCCCUUCGGUGGCGCAGCUAACGCAUUAAGUACUCCGCCU
Molecule: ribosomal RNA, 818 nt
Filed under: uncultured bacterium
Lineage: Bacteria
Description: bacterial SSU rRNA
Rfam family: Bacterial small subunit ribosomal RNA
Source: RNAcentral